This is a long non-coding RNA of Odocoileus virginianus texanus, 1018 nucleotides long. RefSeq lists it as uncharacterized. The record is from RefSeq and is a predicted model, not a curated record. Lineage: Eukaryota; Metazoa; Chordata; Mammalia; Artiodactyla; Cervidae.
CAACGCCUCCUCAAGGAAGCCCACAGCAUGUCCGCCAGCCGCCAUGUUGGUGAUAGGGAGAUCUCUGUGCGGCCCGGUCCUGAGGGUACCCGGAGCCGCUGAGCUCAGGGCCGGCUGGCCAAGGACGGAACCUGUUUGUGGCGGGACGUGGAAGCUCUGUAGCAAUUUCCAUUUCCAGGAAGUAAUCGGGUGGCCCUGGGCUCCUCCGGUGGAGUUGAACAGGAGACCCCCGGGGCCGAGCCGCAGUCGUGGCUUCCUCCAUCAGCAACACUCCUGGUGACUCACUCUUCUGUUCAGGAGCUUUAGUCGCCACAUGAUCCCCAGAGUGUGACCGCUCUUGGUGCCAGCUUUGCUCCUGACCUCAUCUUUGGGAUCACCUCAAGUCCUGGCAGUCACCAACGCCUCCCCACAGGCCUCCUCCCCACCCUCGCCAACCUGCAAGCCAUCCUCCAUGCAGGGCCGGUGUGAUGGGUGAAGAUUCAGGUGACGACCCUGCUGCACUGACACCCACCUCCUCGGACUGGAGCUCUGAGUCCUGGAGGCCUGACGGGGUCUGAGCCCUGACGCGCUGCUUCAUGUUCCAGAACCUUCCCCCGCUGCCCCUCACGGGCCCCCAGAGUCCACACAGGGGUUUACAUGCAAAUCCAGGGAACAGCACACACCCUUGGCCUGUCGUCUGUGUGUAAGGCUUGACUACAGGAGCUGGCGGGUCUAUAAAAUGAGACGUAUGUGCCCGGAGCUCAUCACUGGGCUUCCUAGGGUGCCGCUCCAUCUGCAAUCCACCAGCGGUCCUAACCGCCCACUCCCAGCGACAAGGACGGGUGGACCUUGACGCGCCAGCCACCCGUGUUCCCGGGCUGGGUGUCUGUGGUUGAUCAUUGUUCUAUGUCAAGAAGGAAGCUACAGAAUCACCACCCCCACCCCCAGGAAUAUGAUGCACCUUUUAAAGACUCCAUAACCUGCAUGGUACACGAAGAAGCAGCCUUCAAGAUCCUCAAUAAAUGUGAUUAAUAAAAAA